CCUACGGGAGGCAGCAGUGAGGAAUAUUGGUCAAUGGACGCAAGUCUGAACCAGCCAUGUCGCGUGCAGGAAGACGGCCCUAUGAGUUGUAAACUGCUUUUGUACGAGGGUAAACCCAGACACGCGUACCUUUUUGCAUGUACCUUACGAAUAAGGAUCGGCUAACUCCGUGCCAGCAGCCGCGGUAAUACGGAGGAUUCAAGCGUUAUCCGGAUUUAUUGGGUUUAAAGGGUGCGUAGGCGGUUGGUUAAGUUAGUGGUGAAAUCCCGAGGCUCAACUUUGGAAUUGCCUUUGAUACUGGUCGGCGAGAGAGUAGUUGCGGUAGGCGGAAUGUAUGGUGUAGCGGUGAAAUGCUUAGAGAUCAUACAGAACACCGAUUGCGAAGGCAGCUUACCAAGCUACUACUGACGUUGAGGCACGAAAGCGUGGGGAGCAAACAGGAUUAGAUACCCGGGUAGUC
Molecule: ribosomal RNA, 460 nt
Filed under: uncultured bacterium
Lineage: Bacteria
Description: partial 16S ribosomal RNA
Rfam family: Bacterial small subunit ribosomal RNA
Source: RNAcentral